GCAUAGCUCAGUUGGUUAGAGCAUGGUGCUGAUAAUGUGAGGGUUGCAGGUUCAAUCCCCGCAAGGGACAGCUGCA
Molecule: transfer RNA, 76 nt
Filed under: Podarcis lilfordi (Lilford's wall lizard)
Lineage: Eukaryota; Metazoa; Chordata; Lepidosauria; Squamata; Lacertidae
Description: tRNA.Ile
Source: RNAcentral